This 459-nucleotide ribosomal RNA is filed under the name uncultured Longilinea sp. RNAcentral describes it as "bacterial SSU rRNA". It matches the Rfam family "Bacterial small subunit ribosomal RNA", at positions 925 to 1382 of the family's 1533-position model. The record is from RNAcentral. Lineage: Bacteria; Bacillati; Chloroflexota; Anaerolineae; Anaerolineales; Anaerolineaceae.
ACAAGCAGCGGUAGCGUGUGGUUUAAUUCGAGGCUACACGAAGAACCUUACCAGGGUUUGACAUGUCACGUGGUAGGAAUCCGAAAGGUGACCGACCUUCGGGGAGCGUGCACAGGUGUUGCACGGCUGUCGUCAGCUCGUGCCGUGAGGUGUUGGGUUAAGUCCCGCAACGAGCCGCAACCCCUACUGCCAGUUACUAACAGGUGAAGCUGAGGACUCUGGCGGAACUGCCGGUGACAACCGGAGGAAGUGGGAUGACGUCAAGUCAUCAUGGCCCUUAUGUCCAGGGCUACACACGUGCUACAAUGGGCGAGACAGGGCGACGCGAAGCCGCGAGGUGGAGCAAAUCGACAGAAAAUCGCCCUCAGUUCGGAUUGGAGUCUGAAACCCGACUCCAUGAAGGUGGAAUCGCUAGUAAUCGCGCAUCAGCAGGUCGCGGUGAAUACGUUCCCGGGCCUU